UGGAUAGCUCAGUAGGUAGAGCAUCGGACUGCGAAUCCGACGGUCGCGGGUUCAACUCCCGCUCCA
Molecule: transfer RNA, 66 nt
Rfam family: tRNA
About the family: Transfer RNA (tRNA) molecules are approximately 80 nucleotides in length. Their secondary structure includes four short double-helical elements and three loops (D, anti-codon, and T loops).
Source: Rfam